AUCACUUCUUGGCCUUUUGGCUAAGAUCAAGUGCAGUAUCUGUUAUCAGUUUAAUAUCUGAUAUGUCCUCUAUCCAAGGACAAUAUAUUAAAUGGAUUUUUGGAGUAGGGAGUUGGAAUAGGAGCUUGCUCUGAACAAUCCACACAUCAACCUGGUAUUGCAGUACUUCCAGGAAUGGUGUACCCUCC
Mustela putorius furo (domestic ferret) is the source of this 188-nucleotide small nuclear RNA. Its record names the gene U2. It matches the Rfam family "U2 spliceosomal RNA". Rfam says of the family: U2 is a small nuclear RNA (snRNA) component of the spliceosome (involved in pre-mRNA splicing). Complementary binding between U2 snRNA (in an area lying towards the 5' end but 3' to hairpin I) and the branchpoint sequence (BPS) of the intron results the bulging out of an unpaired adenosine, on the BPS, which initiates a nucleophilic attack at the intronic 5' splice site, thus starting the first of two transesterification reactions that mediate splicing. The record is from Ensembl. NCBI's taxonomy places the organism in Eukaryota, Metazoa, Chordata, Mammalia, Carnivora, Mustelidae.